Molecule: ribosomal RNA, 468 nt
Filed under: uncultured bacterium
Lineage: Bacteria
Description: partial 16S ribosomal RNA
Rfam family: Bacterial small subunit ribosomal RNA
Source: RNAcentral
GACGAACGCUGGCGGCGUGCUUAACACAUGCAAGUCGAACGGAAAGGCCCUGCUUUUGUGGGGUGCUCGAGUGGCGAACGGGUGAGUAACACGUGAGUAACCUGCCCUUGACUUUGGGAUAACUUCAGGAAACUGGGGCUAAUACCGGAUAGGAGCUCCUGCUGCAUGGUGGGGGUUGGAAAGUUUCGGCGGUUGGGGAUGGACUCGCGGCUUAUCAGCUUGUUGGUGGGGUAGUGGCUUACCAAGGCUUUGACGGGUAGCCGGCCUGAGAGGGUGACCGGCCACAUUGGGACUGAGAUACGGCCCAGACUCCUACGGGAGGCAGCAGUGGGGAAUAUUGCACAAUGGGCGGAGGCCUGAUGCAGCAACGCCGCGUGCGGGAUGACGGCCUUCGGGUUGUAAACCGCUUUCGCCUGUGACAAAGCGUGAGUGACGGUAAUGGGUAAAGAAGCACCGGCUAACUACGUG